UUGAAUCUCCAACCCUAGAUUAUGGAAAUUAGUUCAUCAUGCUGUAGAAUUCAAAGUAGGAGAAAAGGUAAACCAUGGAAUUAAAACAAAGAAGAAAGAUAAAGAAAUAAUUGCGAAAUUCAAAGUGCAAAUCCGUUCCAAUGCGUAAAGAAAGUGAAAUAAAAUGAUAAACUAAAGUUCUCCUAUUGUUCUUGCUUCAAAAAGGGAAAAGGAUGGAAGUUCUAAGUGAAAAAAGUGUAUUUGAAUCUCUAAAAACCGCCAUUCUUAUGAGAAAUCCCGUCAGAAAACUGUCAGGGUCAGCCCGGUUGACUAGUGCGCCGCGGCUCACUUCACAUUCUGCCCAUUUUCCUUCAAGCAGUCAACCCGGUUGGCUAGUGCGCCGCGGCUCACUGCCUUCUCUUCUCAAUCUUCUUCUAAUCACCCCCGAUUCAUUGUGAGCCAUGGUUAGCAUGUCUUAAACACUCUCUUUUGCGUCGUUGUGAGCUUUCUUCACAAUCUUCAAAUGCUUUAACAUCGACAUUCUUCAUUUAACACCUAAAGCAUCACAAUUAACCAUUAAGCUCAAAUUAACACAAAAUCACCACUACUCUACACAACUUUUACAAUAAAAUAUGACUAAACUAAUAAUAGACAAUGGCACAAACACGACAAAACAAAUCCCCCCACACUAAGCAUUUGCUUGUCCUCAAGCAAAAAUCUAGUUCAACGUAGUAGAGUUUGAACUUAAGAGACUUCAUUUCCGGUUAACUCAACAUAGACAUCAUAUCCUCUUCAGAACCAUAGUCAACCAUUUCCCAACAU
RNAcentral lists this long non-coding RNA (801 nucleotides) under Salvia miltiorrhiza (redroot sage). RNAcentral describes it as "long non-coding RNA (SMIL_LNC012193)". The record is from RNAcentral. Lineage: Eukaryota; Viridiplantae; Streptophyta; Magnoliopsida; Lamiales; Lamiaceae.